This 875-nucleotide long non-coding RNA is filed under the name Brachypodium distachyon (stiff brome). Its description in RNAcentral is "long non-coding RNA (BDIS_LNC002719)". Lineage: Eukaryota; Viridiplantae; Streptophyta; Magnoliopsida; Poales; Poaceae. The record is from RNAcentral.
GAAUGAGUAUUGUGUUCCCCUCAAACCUCCUUCCGUUUGAACAUCUCUAAUAUCAAAACAAAGAGCUCUUGUUUAUAAGUAUAACCUUUUGGUCAAUAGGUUUGGAGCUCAAAUUUUUUGCAGGUAAUGCACGUUUAGGUUGCGUUUGGCAUUGAGGUGGAUUAUGAUAAUCUAUCUUUUUCCAACCGACUUAUGGCUAUUUUCCCAUUUGGCUAACUAACCUUUCUUACUUUCGUGUGUAUUUUUUCACAACAAUAUUAUAAAAUAAAUUCAACACGGCACGAUUUAGCAAUAUCAAACUGAGCCUUUAAAUGACAGACAUACAUUGGUUGCAGUCAAUUCAGAUUUGAAACCCAAGAGAUUUGCAACUGAGUGAGACACAAUUUAAGAGAAAUGAGUUGGAAAUUGGCUUCAUAAUUUAGAUUUUUGGAAAACUCAGAUUUAGAAUGGGAACUAACAAAUUGAGGGAGCAUGACACAGAUUAUAAAUAUUACAUGGAGGUAAAAAUAUCUUCCAGCCCAUUUCCAUGGCCACAUAUCUUCAAAUGAAAAAUGUAGUAGUAGUCACGAAGAUCGAUUGGAAAAAGGGAGUUUGGUGUGGGGUGUGGGGGGAGGGAGGGAUCUAUGGAUAACCUCUAAAGCUGGUGCCAAACAAGCCCUAAAGUGUAAUCGUCCAAAUGUUUAUUAUAAAAAUAGCAAUUACAGAAAUAAAAUAAAUAAAACUUAAAAAAUGACUGUCCAUCAGAUAAACCCGCAUUUCAGCGAUUUCGGAAAGAGAAGAAAAUAAAUAAAUCAGUCCAACUACUGGACUAGCAUGGAUAUGCGCGCGCGGCCGGAUAUGCAGCUAUCCAUGCAUGGAAUCCCUUUAAUAUCGGU